GAUGAACGCUGGCGGCGUGCCUAAUACAUGCAAGUCGAGCGAACAGAUAAGGAGCUUGCUCCUUUGACGUUAGCGGCGGACGGGUGAGUAACACGUGGGUAACCUACCUAUAAGACUGGGAUAACUUCGGGAAACCGGAGCUAAUACCGGAUAACAUUUGGAACCGCAUGGUUCUAAAGUGAAAGAUGGUUUUGCUAUCACUUAUAGAUGGACCCGCGCCGUAUUAGCUAGUUGGUAAGGUAACGACUUACCAAGGCGACGAUACGUAGCCGACCUGAGAGGGUGAUCGGCCACACUGGAACUGAGACACGGUCCAGACUCCUACGGGAGGCAGCAGUAGGGAAUCUUCCGCAAUGGGCGAAAGCCUGACGGAGCAACGCCGCGUGAGUGAUGAAGGGUUUCGGCUCGUAAAACUCUGUUAUUAGGGAAGAACAAAUGUGUAAGUAACUGUGCACGUCUUGACGGUACCUAAUCAGAAAGCCACGGCUAACUACGUG
Molecule: ribosomal RNA, 497 nt
Filed under: uncultured bacterium
Lineage: Bacteria
Description: partial 16S ribosomal RNA
Rfam family: Bacterial small subunit ribosomal RNA
Source: RNAcentral